CAACCUCAACUCAUAUGGGACUACCCCCUGAAUUUAAGCAUAUUAAUUAGGGGAGGAAAAGAAACUAACAAGGAUUUUCUUAGUAGCGGCGAGCGAAAAGAAAUCAGUUCAGCACUAAGUCACUUUGUCUAUAUGGCAAAUGUGAGAUGCAGUGUACGGAACAUCAACAUUCUAGUAUGAGAAGUUAACGAUUUAAGUCCUUCUUAAAUGAGGCCAUUUACCCAUAGAGGGUGCCAGGCCCGUAUAACGUUAAUGAUUACUAGAUGGUGUUUCCAAAGAGUCGUGUUGCUUGAUAGUGCAGCACUAAGUGGGUGGUAAACUCCAUCUAAAACUAAAUAUAACCAUGAGACCGAUAGUAAACAAGUACCGUGAGGGAAAGUUGAAAAGAACUCUGAAUAGAGAGUUAAAUAGUACGUGAAACUGCUUAGAGGUUAAGCCCGAUGAACCUGAAUAUCCGUUAUGGAAAAUUCAUCAUUAGAAUUGUAAUAUUUUAAACAAUAUUAUAAUAAUAGUGUGACAUUUUUCCAUAUAAGGACAUU
Molecule: non-coding RNA, 539 nt
Filed under: Drosophila virilis
Lineage: Eukaryota; Metazoa; Arthropoda; Insecta; Diptera; Drosophilidae
Description: Eukaryotic large subunit ribosomal RNA
Rfam family: Eukaryotic large subunit ribosomal RNA
Source: Rfam by way of RNAcentral